Molecule: long non-coding RNA, 715 nt
Organism: Vitis riparia (riverbank grape)
Lineage: Eukaryota; Viridiplantae; Streptophyta; Magnoliopsida; Vitales; Vitaceae
Exons: 2
Source: RefSeq, a predicted model, not a curated record
UCUGUUUGGAGUUGUUUCACCUUCUCAAAUCCCUUUUGUUUCCCUCCUCAAACGGCAAGUGAGAGCUGAACAACCUAAAGUAUGGGUUCACGUAUCAACUGCAUGAAAUGGCUGCUGCGAUAUUGGCCCGGUUCACUCAGAUACAGGAUACACCUACACUUCCAAAGAAAAAAAAAAAGGUGUACUUUUGAUUUGAUUGAGCCGUGCCAAUAUCUGAGUUCCCUUUCAUUUCUACCAUUCCGAUCAAGUUUGAAGAUUCGUCUUGUACCAACAUUCUCGAUGGCCAUAUACGAUUGCAAGCCAUAAGGGUGACUGCCACUCAGAAGGACCUGCAGCAUCUUGAAACGGAGAAAAUGGAGAUGGUGCAACUCUAGGGUUGUUUUAUUUCCUGUAUUGCAAGUGGGUGAAGACGACUCAUAUAUCUAAGAUCCUUGCAAUACAUGGCCUUUGGGUCCGGUUCAUUUGGAUCAAACAUCUAGUGCUUAUAUUAAUUUCUCUUUCCUAAAUUAAUUCUCCUCAGUUGAAGCCUGAAGGCUGGAUAUUGACUCAUGUAUUAUCUAAAAUUUUAUAUCUGGGUCCAGCUCGAAGCUUUGGCCAUGAUUAUUCAUCAGAAACCUUGCUUACAAGGACAUGGCUUCUAGAUCUUUAUUUGAACUUUAACUUAACUUGUAAGAACAGAACUCUUGCCAAUAAAAGCUUAUGGCUUAAGCAAUGA